Lates calcarifer (barramundi perch) is the source of this 878-nucleotide long non-coding RNA. RefSeq lists it as uncharacterized. The transcript is spliced from 4 exons. NCBI's taxonomy places the organism in Eukaryota, Metazoa, Chordata, Actinopteri, Centropomidae. The record is from RefSeq and is a predicted model, not a curated record.
GCAGGAUCUGCACCUGUGUUUGUCCACCCACUUUCCUGCCUCAGCAUUAUUCAGCCAAUUCACAACCGCUAAGUCAACACCUGCGGACGUGGGAGGACGAAUAACCUGUGAGCAGGAGGCCAGAGGAGCUAUGAACCCAAACUGCAUCAAUCCCCAGAAACUUCCUCUGUGAUGACAAGUUGACGGAUCCGGCGGUGGCGGCGCCUGUCAGCACCCCGGUCUGGCUCUGCACCCUGAGAGACAAAAAGUGACUCAGUAAGAGGGAGACAAAGCCUGCAGCCAUCAUGUUGUUUACAGCGAGACCCACGGGACCGCUAAGACGACGGAAAUGAACGCUGCGUAAUCGGGAGGAGAAUCAGUUUUCUUUCUUCCGGAAAAAAAAGUUAAUCCCACUCUGGAUCGGGGCUCUCACAUGGUUUCAGAGACAUGUUUUAAAAAGAUUACACUACAUUACAUGAUGUUAUUUAAGACUUUGUUAGUGGACAUUUGGACACCGGGCAGCACGUCGGUCAGCAAGGCCUCCUUUCAAUCGAGGACCACGGUUCAUGCUUCUGCACCAAUGUGGAGACCUUUGACCUUUGAAAGAUGACCCCUGCUACGUCACAUUAUUAUAUUAUUAAACAGAAUGUGAUAGGUUUUAAAUAUUUUAUGGUUACAUGAGAAUUUUCAAGGCAUACUCAGGAUUAGGUGAGUGAAAACUAAGUACUAAGUCUCUAAAGUCCUUUUCAGGCAUGGAGUCAGACCAAGGUGUUGGUUAUGUAAAUGAAAUGAGUGUGAUGCUAGAUUUGAAAACUUGUUUCCUCCGAGAUGUCUACAUGUAUCACAAUCAAAAAUAAAGGCUGAGAUUAGAGCAAAGCUGUCUGGUCCACCACUGAAAU